CUGUUAGUGCCCAGUGCUGCCCAUGAACCACAGGCAUAGUGAGAUGCGGCCCGUUCUUGUUCCCGACGUCCCAGGGGGCCAUGAUGCACAGCACAGCCAAGGUCACAGGCCGGAAGUGCCUCCCAGGCUGACUUCGGGCUGCAGCAGCCUAGGCUCCCCACACUCCUGCUCCACAGAGGCCCUGGAGAGGUGGCACCGGCCACCGGCCCAACUGCCGCGCGGAGCUGAUGGUCUCUCACAGACUCUCCUGGCGCGGGACUGUCCUCGACCUCAGCAGUGCUAGGCCCUCUCCCCCCAGACCUGGCCACUCCUCUGCAGACCUCUGGUUCUGUUGGCGGGAUGCCAGCGGAGGCCGCAGUGGGGAGGCUUCACUUUCACUUUCCCGUGGAAUGAUCUGGAAGCCAGGUAAGUGGCGUCUGGAGAUGAGACACUGGACUCAGGCUCUUCUGAUUCCAGACACCGUUACAGACGCUGCGAACACCUCUUUGUGCUUCUGCACUUUGGGGACUGGGUUCUAGAGAUGGGCCUGCUGGGCCAAGGGUGAGGGUCUGUGCUGCCACCAGGCCCUGCUGAGGCCUCGCCAGAGGCCGCGUGUCCACUGCCCCACCUCUGCCAGCAAGGACUCUGGUCCUCGGGCAGUCUCUCCAGUGCGUCUCUCGGAUUCUUCCUUGUGAAUGCGAAGGCUCUUCUUCAGCAGAGGAGCCGGUCACCAGCUCAGCCUGGGUGCUGCCACCGUGCCUGGUGACCUGCCUGUGUGUGCAGGGGUGAAUGCUCCUCUGACGCUCAUCUUGCCACUGUGCCGGUUUGUCCACCCGUCUCUUGAGGUUGGCACCUCCACCCUGUUCCCUCGGCCUCCCCAGCUCUGUGGAGGGAACCACAGUGGUUCGAGCCUCAGCAGCGCUGAACAGGCCAGUGCUUCUUCCCUCCCUUCCACCUCAGGAGCUCAGGUGGGCCCACAGCUGUGGGUGGCACACCCACUGGGCUCCCACCUUGGGCUUCCUCUCCAC
RNAcentral lists this long non-coding RNA (1007 nucleotides) under Marmota monax (woodchuck). Lineage: Eukaryota; Metazoa; Chordata; Mammalia; Rodentia; Sciuridae. The record is from RNAcentral.